RNAcentral lists this unclassified non-coding RNA (314 nucleotides) under Hevea brasiliensis (rubber tree). Lineage: Eukaryota; Viridiplantae; Streptophyta; Magnoliopsida; Malpighiales; Euphorbiaceae. The record is from RNAcentral.
CUGGUAAAUAGUUGCUUCGGAAAGUGAGAAAGAAGAUCUAGGAAGCCCUAGAAGCAAAUAAACGACAUUUCUACUGAAGAAAUCAGUGAAUCGGAGACUGGACGGUGGAAUUGAAACUCUGAACUAGAUUAGAAAGUCAAAAUUGGUCGCAAUUGUGAUUCUUGACAAAGAAUGAAUUAGGGAUUUGGUUAUGGGAGGGAGAUUCCGAGCUUUUCCGAGUCUCUUGAGGAGAGAGAACGAAUCGGCUCAGGUGACGACUCGAAGAUUUACAAAGAGGAAAACGCUGAGAAUCGAGAGAGCUUUGGGUUUAAAAC